CCUACGGGAGGCAGCAGUGGGGAAUAUUGCACAAUGGGGGAAACCCUGAUGCAGCGACGCCGCGUGAGUGAAGAAGUAAUUCGUUAUGUAAAGCUCUAUCAGCAGGGAAGAAAAUGACGGUACCUGAGUAAGAAGCCCCGGCUAACUACGUGCCAGCAGCCGCGGUAAUACGUAGGGGGCAAGCGUUAGCCGGAUUUACUGGGUGUAAAGGGAUCGUAGACGGGAUUGCAAGUCUGGAGGGAAAGGCGGGGUCUCAACCCCAGGACUGCACUGGAAACUGUACGGCUGGAGUGCAGGAGAGGUAGGUGGAAUUCUUAGUGUAGCGGUGAAAUGCGUAGAGAUUAGGAGGAACACUCGUGGCGAAGGCGACUUACUAGACUGUAACUGACGUUGAGGCGCGAAAGCGUGGGGAGCAAACAGGAUUAGAUACCCUAGUAGUC
This 440-nucleotide ribosomal RNA is filed under the name uncultured bacterium. RNAcentral's name for it is "partial 16S ribosomal RNA". It matches the Rfam family "Bacterial small subunit ribosomal RNA", at positions 338 to 795 of the family's 1533-position model. The record is from RNAcentral.